Molecule: ribosomal RNA, 377 nt
Filed under: Lucinoma annulata gill symbiont
Lineage: Bacteria; Pseudomonadati; Pseudomonadota; Gammaproteobacteria
Description: 16S ribosomal RNA
Rfam family: Bacterial small subunit ribosomal RNA
Source: RNAcentral
CUUACUAGAGAUAGUUUGGUGCNUUCGGGAAUCCAGUGACAGGUGCUGCAUGGCUGUCGUNAGCUNGUGUCGUGAGAUGUUGGGUUAAGUCCCGUAACGAGCGCAACCCCUGUCCCUAGUUGCCAGCACAUAAUGGUGGGAACUCUAGGGWGACUGCCGGUGACAAACCGGAGGAAGGUGGGGAUGACGUCAAGUCAUCAUNNCCCUUAUGGGCUGGGCUACACACGUGCUACAAUGGCCGGUACAGAGGGCUGCCNACCCGCAAGGGGGAGCUAAUCUCAGAAAACCGGYCGUAGUCCGGAUUGGAGUCUGCAACUCGACUCCAUGAAGUCGGAAUCGCUAGUAAUCGCAGAUCAGAAUGCUGCGGUSAAUACGUU